This 72-nucleotide transfer RNA is filed under the name Stegodyphus mimosarum. It matches the Rfam family "tRNA". From Rfam's summary of the family: Transfer RNA (tRNA) molecules are approximately 80 nucleotides in length. Their secondary structure includes four short double-helical elements and three loops (D, anti-codon, and T loops). Further hydrogen bonds mediate the characteristic L-shaped molecular structure. tRNAs have two regions of fundamental functional importance: the anti-codon, which is responsible for specific mRNA codon recognition, and the 3' end, to which the tRNAs corresponding amino acid is attached (by aminoacyl-tRNA synthetases). tRNAs cope with the degeneracy of the genetic code in two manners: having more than one tRNA (with a specific anti-codon) for a particular amino acid; and 'wobble' base-pairing, i.e. permitting non-standard base-pairing at the 3rd anti-codon position. The record is from Rfam by way of RNAcentral. Lineage: Eukaryota; Metazoa; Arthropoda; Arachnida; Araneae; Eresidae.
GCCUUUGGAGUGUAGUGGUCAGCAUGCUCGGCCCGUAUUCGAGAGAUCCGGGUUCGAGUCCCGGCGAGGGCA